This 253-nucleotide ribosomal RNA is filed under the name uncultured bacterium. RNAcentral's name for it is "partial 16S ribosomal RNA". It matches the Rfam family "Bacterial small subunit ribosomal RNA", at positions 524 to 776 of the family's 1533-position model. The record is from RNAcentral.
UACGUAGGGUGCAAGCGUUGUCCGGAAUUAUUGGGCGUAAAGAGCUCGUAGGCGGUUUGUCGCGUCUGCUGUGAAAACCCGAGGCUCAACCUCGGGCCUGCAGUGGGUACGGGCAGACUAGAGUGCGGUAGGGGAGAUUGGAAUUCCUGGUGUAGCGGUGGAAUGCGCAGAUAUCAGGAGGAACACCAAUGGCGAAGGCGGGUCUCUGGGCAACAACUGACGCUGAGGAGCGAAAGCGUGGGGAGCGAACAGG